This 238-nucleotide ribosomal RNA is filed under the name uncultured bacterium. RNAcentral describes it as "partial 16S ribosomal RNA". It matches the Rfam family "Bacterial small subunit ribosomal RNA", at positions 96 to 334 of the family's 1533-position model. The record is from RNAcentral.
CGGCGGACGGGUGAGUAACGCGUGGGUAACCUGCCUCGUACAGGGGGAUAACAGUUGGAAACGGCUGCUAAUACCGCAUAAGCGCACAGUACCGCAUGGUACCGUGUGAAAAACUCCGGUGGUAUGAGAUGGACCCGCGUCUGAUUAGGUAGUUGGUGGGGUAACGGCCUACCAAGCCGACGAUCAGUAGCCGACCUGAGAGGGUGACCGGCCACAUUGGGACUGAGACACGGCCCAA